This 56-nucleotide transfer RNA is filed under the name Aedes aegypti (yellow fever mosquito). It matches the Rfam family "tRNA", at positions 9 to 63 of the family's 71-position model. From Rfam's summary of the family: Transfer RNA (tRNA) molecules are approximately 80 nucleotides in length. Lineage: Eukaryota; Metazoa; Arthropoda; Insecta; Diptera; Culicidae. The record is from Rfam by way of RNAcentral.
AGCUAAGUAGGUAAAGCGCUCGUCUAGGAUACAAGAGUGUUGGGUUCGAAUCCCAG